RNAcentral lists this ribosomal RNA (380 nucleotides) under uncultured eukaryote. Its description in RNAcentral is "partial 18S ribosomal RNA". It matches the Rfam family "Eukaryotic small subunit ribosomal RNA", at positions 592 to 976 of the family's 1831-position model. The record is from RNAcentral.
CAAUAGCGUAUAUUAAAGUUGUUGCGGCUAAAAAGCUCGUAGUUGGAUUUCUGCUGAGAACGACCGGUCCGCCCUUUGGGUGUGUAUCUGGCUCUUUCUUGGCAUCUUCUUGGUGAACGUUGCUGCACUUGACUGUGUGGAGCGCUACCCAGGACUUUUACUUUGAGGAAAUUAGAGUGUUUCAAGCAGGCAUACGCCUUGAAUACAUUAGCAUGGAAUAAUAAGAUAGGACCUCGGUUCUAUUUUGUUGGUUUCUAGAGCUGAGGUAAUGAUUAAUAGGGAUAGUUGGGGGCAUUCGUAUUUAACUGUCAGAGGUGAAAUUCUUGGAUUUUUGGAAGACAAGCCACUGCGAAAGCAUUUACCAAGGAUGUUUNCAUUAA